Molecule: small nucleolar RNA, 77 nt
Filed under: Oryza sativa (Asian cultivated rice)
Lineage: Eukaryota; Viridiplantae; Streptophyta; Magnoliopsida; Poales; Poaceae
Description: Z171 small nucleolar RNA
Source: RNAcentral
GAAGUGCCGAUGAUGACUAUCUUAUUGUACUUUUUGAUGAACCUUGAGAAUUUGUUAUCCUAUGUCUGAGGUGCUUU